UGGGGAAUAUUGCACAAUGGGCGCAAGCCUGAUGCAGCCAUGCCGCGUGUGUGAAGAAGGCCUUCGGGUUGUAAAGCACUUUCAGCGAGGAGGAAGGUGGUGAACUUAAUACGUUCAUCAAUUGACGUUACUCGCAGAAGAAGCACCGGCUAACUCCGUGCCAGCAGCCGCGGUAAUACGGAGGGUGCAAGCGUUAAUCGGAAUUACUGGGCGUAAAGCGCACGCAGGCGGUUUGUUAAGUCAGAUGUGAAAUCCCCGGGCUCAACCUGGGAACUGCAUUUGAAACUGGCAAGCUAGAGUCUCGUAGAGGGGGGUAGAAUUCCAGGUGUAGCGGUGAAAUGCGUAGAGAUCUGGAGGAAUACCGGUGGCGAAGGCGGCCCCCCUGGACGAAGACUGACGCUCAGGUGCGAAAGCGUGGGGGCAGCAAACAGGAUUAGAUACCCUGGUAGUCACGCUGUAAACGAUGUCGAUUUGGAGGUUGUGCCCCUUGAGGCGUGGCUUCCGGAGCUAACGCG
Molecule: ribosomal RNA, 515 nt
Filed under: uncultured bacterium
Lineage: Bacteria
Description: partial 16S ribosomal RNA
Rfam family: Bacterial small subunit ribosomal RNA
Source: RNAcentral